GUGCCAGCAGCCGCGGUAAGACGGAGGGGGCAAGCGUUGUCCGGACUCACUGGGCGUAAAGCGCACGUAGGCGGUCGUCUGCGUCCCUGCUGAAAGCGCCAGGCUUAACCUGGCGAGGCGUGCCGAUACGAGACGACUUGAGGCAGGCAGAGGAUGGCGGAAUUCCGGGUGUAGUGGAGAAAUGCGUAGAGAUCCGGAGGAACGGGUGUGGCGCAAGCGGCCAUCUGGGCCUGACCUGACGCUGAGGUGCGUUAGCGUGGGGAGCGAACCGGAUUAGAUACCCGGGUAGUCC
RNAcentral lists this ribosomal RNA (292 nucleotides) under uncultured prokaryote. Its description in RNAcentral is "partial 16S ribosomal RNA". It matches the Rfam family "Bacterial small subunit ribosomal RNA", at positions 505 to 796 of the family's 1533-position model. The record is from RNAcentral.